This 253-nucleotide ribosomal RNA is filed under the name uncultured bacterium. RNAcentral's name for it is "partial 16S ribosomal RNA". It matches the Rfam family "Bacterial small subunit ribosomal RNA", at positions 524 to 776 of the family's 1533-position model. The record is from RNAcentral.
UACGGAGGGGGCAAGCGCUGUUCGGAAUUACUGGGCGUAAAGGGCGCGUAGGCGGCCAUGCGUGUCUCCCGUGAAAUCCCUCGGCUCAACCGAGGACGUGCGGAAGAAACUGCAAGGCUCGAGUCCGGAAGAGGGGGGCGGAAUUCCCAGUGUAGCGGUGAAAUGCGUAGAUAUUGGGAGGAACACCAGUGGCGAAGGCGGUCCCCUGGGCCGGAACUGACGCUGAGGCGCGAAAGCGUGGGUAGCAAACGGG